UUUUUCUAUAUGUGGAAGUGAAAGAAGAUACUCUGGAAAAUUAACCGUGGGACUACCAGUGAAGAUUUAUCAGGAAACACCGCUGUGGCAUGCAGCAAUUUUCUGAACCUGACAAGCUAACUUUUGCCACUAUGCUGACCGCACUGACUGCCAUUAUAUUGAUGUUAUCGUUGGGCGCGCUAAUUUGGCUGAAGCUGAGGCAACUGGCUGACGUACGGAGUCUUCUAUCUGGAACUACAAGUGCUGGUACAGUGAGCAUUUGAGCUGACAUCCUCAGACAACUUCUCUGUGCAUCAGCUGUCAGAACUA
Sander lucioperca (pikeperch) is the source of this 309-nucleotide long non-coding RNA. RefSeq lists it as uncharacterized. The transcript has 3 exons. NCBI's taxonomy places the organism in Eukaryota, Metazoa, Chordata, Actinopteri, Perciformes, Percidae. The record is from RefSeq and is a predicted model, not a curated record.